Molecule: ribosomal RNA, 184 nt
Filed under: Trachurus picturatus (blue jack mackerel)
Lineage: Eukaryota; Metazoa; Chordata; Actinopteri; Carangiformes; Carangidae
Description: partial small subunit ribosomal RNA
Source: RNAcentral
GGUUAUACGAGAGGCUCAAGUUGACAGACAACGGCGUAAAGAGUGGUUAAGGAAAACAUUUAACUAAAGCGGAACCCCCUCAUUGCUGUUAUACGCUUCCGAGGGAAUGAACCCCAACUACGAAGGUGGCUUUAUAUUAACCUGAACCCACGAAAGCUAAGAAACAAACUGGGAUUAGAUACCC